GACGAACGCUGGCGGCGUGCUUAACACACGCAAGUCGAACGAUGAAGCCUAGCUUGCUAGGUGGAUUAGUGGCGAACGGGUGAGUAAUACGUGAGUGACCUACCUUUGACUCUGGGAUAAGCCUGGGAAACUGGGUCUAAUACCGGAUACGACCAAUCUCCGCAUGGGGUGUUGGUGGAAAGCGUUAUGGAGUGGUUUUAGAUGGGCUCACGGCCUAUCAGCUUGUUGGUGAGGUAAUGGCUUACCAAGGCGACGACGGGUAGCCGGCCUGAGAGGGUGACCGGCCACACUGGGACUGAGACACGGCCCAGACUCCUACGGGAGGCAGCAGUGGGGAAUAUUGCACAAUGGGCGCAAGCCUGAUGCAGCGACGCCGCGUGAGGGAUGACGGCCUUCGGGUUGUAAACCUCUGUUAGCAUCGAAGAAGCGAAAGUGACGGUAGGUGCAGAGAAAGC
This 455-nucleotide ribosomal RNA is filed under the name Rothia dentocariosa. Its description in RNAcentral is "bacterial SSU rRNA". It matches the Rfam family "Bacterial small subunit ribosomal RNA", at positions 28 to 491 of the family's 1533-position model. The record is from RNAcentral. Lineage: Bacteria; Bacillati; Actinomycetota; Actinomycetes; Micrococcales; Micrococcaceae.